GUCGAACGGACAAGUAUUUAUACUUGUUAGUGGCGAACGGGUGAGUAACGCGUGGGUGACCUGCCCCGAAGUCUGGGAUAACAGCUCGAAAGGGCUGCUAAUACCGGAUGUGGUUUUUAGGUUUAGAAGCUAAUUUCUAAAGCAGCAAUGCGCUUCGGGAGGGACCUGCGUCCCAUCAGCUAGUUGGUGAGGUCACGGCUCACCAAGGCGACGACGGGUAGGGGGCCUGAGAGGGUGAUCCCCCACACUGGCACUGAAACACGGGCCAGACACCUACGGGUGGCAGCAGUAGGGAAUAUUGCACAAUGGGCGCAAGCCUGAUGCAGCAACGCCGCGUGCGCGAUGAAGGCCUUCGGGUCGUAAAGCGCUUUUCUGGAGGACGAGCAAGGACGGUACUCCAGGAAUAAGGCUCGGCUAACUACGUGCCAGCAGCCGCGGUAAAACGUAGGAGCCUAGCGUUAUCCGAAUUUACUGGGCGUAAAGCGCGUGUCGGCGGUUGGGUAAGUUGGCUGUGAAAUCUCCCGGCUCAACUGGGAGAGGCCGGUCAAGACUGCCUGGCUGGAGGCUGGUAGAGGGAGGUGGAAUUCCGGGUGUAGUGGUGAAAUGCGUAGAUAUCCGGAGGAACACCAGUGGCGAAAGCGGCCUCCUGGACCAGACCUGACGCUCAGACGCGAAAGCUAGGGGAGUGAACGGGAUUAGAAACCCCGGUAAUCCUAGCUGUAAACGAUGUCGACUUGGCGUCGGUGGGGUAAAAGCCAGCGGUGCCGGAGCUAACGCGGUAAGUCGACCGCCUGGGGACUACGGCCGCAAGGUUAAAACUCAAGGAAUUGACGGGGGCCCGCACAAGCAGCGGAGCGUGUGGUUUAAUUCGAUGCUACGCGAAGAACCUUACCCGGGCUUGACAUGCAAGUAGUAGGGAAGCGAAAGCAGACCGACCCUUCGGGAGCUUGCACAGGUGCUGCAUGGCUGUCGU
RNAcentral lists this ribosomal RNA (973 nucleotides) under uncultured bacterium. Its description in RNAcentral is "bacterial SSU rRNA". It matches the Rfam family "Bacterial small subunit ribosomal RNA", at positions 61 to 1055 of the family's 1533-position model. The record is from RNAcentral.